Molecule: ribosomal RNA, 608 nt
Filed under: Cladosporium cladosporioides
Lineage: Eukaryota; Fungi; Ascomycota; Dothideomycetes; Cladosporiales; Cladosporiaceae
Also listed under: 8 other names
Description: eukaryotic LSU rRNA
Rfam family: Eukaryotic large subunit ribosomal RNA
Source: RNAcentral
GCAUAUCAAUAAGCGGAGGAAAAGAAACCAACAGGGAUUGCUCUAGUAACGGCGAGUGAAGCAGCAAUAGCUCAAAUUUGAAAUCUGGCGUCUUCGACGUCCGAGUUGUAAUUUGUAGAGGAUGCUUCUGAGUAACCACCGACCUAAGUUCCUUGGAACAGGACGUCAUAGAGGGUGAGAAUCCCGUAUGCGGUCGGAAAGGUGCUCUAUACGUAGCUCCUUCGACGAGUCGAGUUGUUUGGGAAUGCAGCUCUAAAUGGGAGGUAAAUUUCUUCUAAAGCUAAAUAUUGGCCAGAGACCGAUAGCGCACAAGUAGAGUGAUCGAAAGAUGAAAAGCACUUUGGAAAGAGAGUUAAAAAGCACGUGAAAUUGUUAAAAGGGAAGGGAUUGCAACCAGACUUGCUCGCGGUGUUCCGCCGGUCUUCUGACCGGUCUACUCGCCGCGUUGCAGGCCAGCAUCGUCUGGUGCCGCUGGAUAAGACUUGAGGAAUGUAGCUCCCUCGGGAGUGUUAUAGCCUCUUGUGAUGCAGCGAGCGCCGGGCGAGGUCCGCGCUUCGGCUAGGAUGCUGGCGUAAUGGUCGUAAUCCGCCCGUCUUGAAACACGGACC